GACGCAGCCGGGACGGUAGCUGCAGAGCGGACCGGAGGAGCCAUCUUGUCUCAUCGCCGGGGAGUCAGGCCCCUAACUCGAAGAAGCCCUGGCGCGCCCUCCCCCCCUCCCCGGUCUGGUAGGGCGAAGGAGCGGGCGCGCGGUCGAUCGAGCGAUCGGUUGGCGGCUCUUUCUCCUGCUCUGGCAUCCAGCUCUUGGGGCGCAGGCCCGGCCGCCGCGGCGCGCGCCCGGUGGCCGUUGGCGCUCGCGCCGCGUCUUUCUUCUUGUACGCAGAACUCGGGCGGCGGCCUAUGCGUUUGCGAUUCGACGAGGAGUCGUCCGGGUGGUCGGUGGCGGCGGGCAACUCCUCCGCCCCGCUCCCGGGGAGGCGGCGGCAGCGGCGGGAUUUGGCGCGGCCGGGGAGGCGGGGGUGGCCGGGGCCGGCCUGGAGGCCUGGCGCCACCCUUCCGGGCCUGCAAGAACCCAGUUGGGGGGACAGGAGGGAGCUGGAGGAUGGUUGGUGGUGGGCUUUCUACUUUGCCUUUUCCUCCUCAUGCCGCCUUAGUGAGAUGCGGGAUCUCUGGCAGCAGCUCCGGGGUGGGGAUAGGAGCCCUGGAGUAGAAGAGCUGGGUUUGCUUCCAGGCCUAUCCACCAGCUGGCCRAGUGACCUUAGGCAAAUCACUCUGUAAUUUGUCUGCGCCUCAGUUUCCUCCUCUGCCUGUCGUUGUAUGUGGGGUUGAAAGCGCUUUGUAAACUAUAAGGCGUUGGUAUACGUAAAAGAUGAAUAUUGUAAUGUUUUUUGAGUUGUAAGAAAACAACAAUUACCCAUUUGUGGGAUUUUGAACCUGGGAACCUUAGAUUGGAGUUGGAGAUCCCUAAAACUCCCAGAUACUGUAUGCAGAAAAUUUGUGGGAACAUGCAUUUGUAAGGAAUGGUAAUCCACAGCUGGCAAGUUUUCAGAGGGUCCUGUGACCCAGAAGAGUUAAGAUCGAUUCYUGUAUGCCACUUCCUUUAUGCCACGGGGAGGAAACUGAGGCCUAGAUGUCAUUUGGGAUCCUUUACUACCAAUUUGAAGCCCCCCGUUUGAGUCCCUGGGAUAUGUGAGCUGUUUCUAUGGAUAUUGGGGGUAACGAUAAGCCCUGCUGGCUUCUGUUCUGAAUMCUUUCUUUUCGCCAUGGGGUGCCUGAAGGAUGGCUGAUGUAUAUGGUACAUGGUACAAUGGCACCCAAUGUAAAGCAGCUACAAUUAAGGGUGGAUGUGUUCUGUAAUAUCAAGCAUAUUAAACUUUGGCCCAGAAGUUCUUUGUUUUUUGCUGUUUAUACUGGUGUCUGACUACCUUUCUUUCUUUGACCAUUUUGCUAUGUUUCACUUGCUCCUAUUUUGUGUCCCUAGUUUGUGUGUUUGGUAGUGAAUAGGCUUAUUUUUAAAUGGUGCUGCCAUGCCCAGCUAAUUAAUGGUGCACAUGGAUUUUUAGCAWGCAGGCUCACUGGAACAGGCAUGGAAUUCCUGAAGAUGUUUUGGGUUUUUUCUUUAUUUGAAGGCUAACAUGCUCUGAAAAGUWCUGUUAAAACUCCUGCUGAACCUCAAAAAUCAGAUUUGGUAGCRAUUUGAAACUUUCCUGGCCUGCCAUGUAUUCUAUUGGUUAUAAGUGUGAUAACKAGGCAGCCAAAAUGCCAUUUUUUGUUUCUUUGUUAAUUGUCAGCUGCUUUUAUCAAAUUCCAGUCUGUUAUCCAGCAAACACUAAAAAUGUUUGAACAGUUGGAUUUCAAACAUUUUAACUUUGUGGAGUGGUGCUUACCAAGUGGUACAGCUCUAAGCAAGUGAACAUGAACACUUUUAAGUGUAGUUUGUCCGAUUAGAUGUUAGCCAGUUCUGCUGUUUCAUUCAAAUGUCUGAAAAAAAAAAUCAGUUGACUGUUCCUUUACCUAAAGGGCAGAGACAAAUGAUUCACUCCCAGAAAAAAURACUUUUUUUGAAGAAAACUGUGUUGGUCUUUAGCUCUUUUGUAAUUAAGUCUGGAUGUACCUCAAAAGAAUCUUUAGACUGUGGUGAUAAGAGGCUUUCCUCCAGAGAAAGGAGGAGAAAAACAACUGGAACUCAAAGCUUGAAAUUCUGUAACAAAACAUGAGAUGUCCAGGAUUGGAGGUUGAAAAGGUUUUGCUACAGUGUCCUGCAAUCAUUGAAGCAGAUAACUUUUAGUAGCUGCAGCCAUGGACUCCAGAUUUUCAAGAACUGGACCUGCAACCCAGAAGAGCUUGUCAGGAUGUGGCAGGAAUUCUGGAGGUAGUUUUUUUGGUUUGGUUUGUUUUGUUCUGUUUUUAAUCUGGGGACUGUUGACCUUGCUGUGAGAAAAGAGGCAACUGAGCAAGCACUGCCACCAGCAAUGUUUAUGGGAAUUAGAAGACCUGAGUUUCUCUUCAGAACUUCUGUGCAAACUGAUAACACUCCAUCCAAAGUGGAUUACGAUAGCAAAUCCUUUGAAAAGGACCUUGUUUUAUGCACCUACAUACCACUACCUCUGAUGAAGCAUUUAUUACAAAGGAAGACUUUAGAGAACAGGCUGUCUCAGAAUCAUCCUGUGCCUCCUGAUUGCUGAGUGUUCACCUGGACCUUCUGACCACCUUCCUUCUGCUAGACCAUCAGCCUACAGACCUGGUACCUGGAUUUUUGCUCAUGGUGAUUCCUGCCACUUUACUACUGAAGAAGGCAUCAUUCCAGUGGACACUGUGACCCAAGAGGCAUUCAUCCAUCAUGAUGUGGCCUUUACCUCCACUCCUUUCCUGUUGUACCCAGAGUCAGCACAGCCCUUUAUAGUGUAGUCAAGAGUCCUGAAGCCAAAUGGCUGAAGCUAUUUUAACACAAAGGCCCAGUUUUUUUCCAUGAGUGUACAUUUCAUUUCUUCAGUUAAAGCCUUCAGAGAGACACAAUAAAGUUGGACCAGGGGAUUUGUAAUUGUCAACUAUGUCAGAAGAAAGGAAACAUCUCUUUGAGAACAGCAUUAGACCAUGCCCCCCCCAAUCUCAAAUGAUUGAAGUUCAUGAACUAACUAUCUUGAUGGAAUCCCAUCAAGGUCACUGGACCCUGUUCUUUUUUCUACGUCAAAACUGUAGUAGCCUACUGAAUGAGAAAGUAGAUACUCUGACCCAUUGGGAUCAAAAGAAGGCACAGUGAAUUCCUUAUAGCAUCUUCUUUGGGAUUACUCAGGAACCAGAACUCUUCACAAAACAUAAGAAAUUCUACUAAGGAAUCCCUUUACCUAAUGGCAUCUCACAAGACUACAGUCAGACUCAAGAGAAGGCCUCUUGAUACAUCAAGAUAGCACCUAUAUGCAUUUUGUGAACAGCUUAUUCUUAGAUCAUUGGUUUUCCAAAGACUUGUGGCCAUGAAGUCCUUUGAAUGAAAAUAUGGAAGCCCAGAGUAAAAGUGAAGCUGCUCUAAAUGAAGUAGUGAAGCAGAAGUGGGGGUCUGCAACCUGCCAUAACCAUCAUCCUUUACCACCAUGGUGACAUCAAAAGAGACUUCCUGCAACAUGUAGAAUUCUUCAGAGCAAAGUUUGAAAACUACUGCCCCAGAUGACGUGUUUGAGCUGAGUGGCAUUCUAAUCUUUUGUGUACCUUCUCUCAAUGUGGUCCAUAUUCAGUUGAUGCUGAACAUUCUUAUGAAUAUUUACUGCAGACUUAGGAAUAUGCAAGAAAUGACGAAGUGCAAGAAAUGCCUUUGCCCCCCAGAAUGGUCAUGUGGGCUGAAAAUAGUGUCAAAUGAACCUUCAUUAAUAGCCCUCCAUCCCAGAUGGGCUUAAAAUCACUCCUGGAAUUGGAUAGACCCAGAGAGCAACUAAUAUGCACCCUAUACUGACAAAUCCCACUUACCAACCUUCUUAAACACCAGAUGUACUACUGGUACUGAAGUACAUGAAUGAUAUCUUAGACCUUCCUUGGAUACAUGAAAAACCUACAGGUUGAUACUGAAACUGAUUCCUCAUUGAGACCAUCUUAAACCAACUUGUGCAUUUGAUCUCUCAUCAUUAACCAUGGUACUAUACUUCGUAUGCAAGGGAUAACUAACUAUGAAAGCAGAAUCCAAAUAUUGGCAGCAUUUCCCAAAGGGGCUCAGUACCUGGUUAUCAUUCAUCUUUUCAAACUACAAAUCACUAUAUGACUCAACCAGUGGUAGUUUACACUGCUCCUUGGUUUAUAUUCAAUUAACCGUUAUUUCCAGGACAAGUGAGCCUUUAAAAAAGUUGGGGUUUUUGUUUAAUUUUAAUUUUCUCCAUCACUUGGCAUAUCUGCUUGUUCUACAAAAUUAAUAUGAAUACUAGUCUCUAGCUACAUGUAACAGCUGAUCUUCAAGACAAUCUUUGGACAUCCCUUCUCAUGUGAUUUUAAAUGAAGCCAUUUGGAAAAUUUUUCUUAUAGCCAGUGAGAAAUGUUCUUGUAAUAUGAAUCUUUUGUGCCUGGUACCAUCAACUAUAUAUGCUAGUGAUAGUUAAACAUAGGCCCUUUGAUCAGACCAUGGUAGCCAACUCGCUGGGCUACAUUUUUGUCAGACUGAUAUGGAAAAAAAAAUACAAAUACAGCAGCAAAGGAUUUUAAUACUUAAAACUUUUGUCCUCGUGGAUCUUAAAUCACAUCUGUCUCAAUACUGCUGUUUUAUACCAAUUAAAAGUGGUUGGCUUUAUUCCUUUCUGUGAGAUACUGUUAGUCAUUAGGACAAUUUAUUUCUGUAAUAAGGAUUCAAUUCUUGAAUUCCCAAAUCAUAUCAAAUGAAGAGACUUCGAUUUGUGUCCUGAGAAAAAUCUCAUCCUUUACUGCACAAUUUAAGGGCUGGCCAUCCUCAGCCACUUUAACAAAUGUACACAUUCAAUGCUGGAAAUGUUUUCUUUAUGUCCUUGUUUCCUAGCCUCUAGAUUAAUCGUGAUUAUGUGAUUCAUUCUACAAAUCAUCAAACAAGACUUAGUCCUGUUGCUGUAGACUGCUUACCCUCAGCACAUUAAAUCUGGAUGACUAUUCUGCUUAUAUAUACAGCUUUUAUAUCUUCAAGAUCACUUUUUCUGCUGUCUUCAGAUUGUCAAGUUGUCAGAUUUUUCCCCCCUGUGCUUUUCCUGUACCUUUCAGAAAAAGACAUUUAUCUACACUGCCAGUUAUUCCCUCUGAUCCUAUCAUACUCAAUCAAAAUGAAGGGUUUAAUAUGAAAGUGAUCAUCUGCUCAAGAGUCAAAUGUAUCCUGUGCUUAAGAAUUGGUAAUUAAGAAGGCAAAAAGCCCAAAACUUAAACCCAGGAGUUUGCCUACUAUCUCCACACCUCAAAUCUUAUCCAAAUCUUUCAAGAGUGCCAUCCAACCAGUCUGAGGCCUUGACUUGCUUGUAAGGUGACUCUCAGAGAUGAGCUCAGUUACAGAAGAUGAAGACUUGAUUACCAAAGAAAGUAGGGCCAACUUUGACAAACCUGGCUCUACUGACCCUGCUGCUCCCAGAUAUAGUGUAAACUGAUAAACAGACCCUCAGGUCUAGAUUGGAUAUGGCCUUUGAGCUGGCUGUUCUUGGGCAAAUGAACAGGAAAAUGAGAGCCGCUAUACCUGACUAGCCCUUUAAGAUCAGAAAAUGGUAUUCAGAGUAAACCCUGUAGAAUAAUUCUGAAGUACCCAGGGCAAAAACUAAUUUAUAGAACAUUUAUUAAUCCGCCACAUUAUAUCCUGUCUUUUGGUAUGGCUGGUCCUGUUGAAGUUGCCCUGCUUGUCAAUUUACCUGUCUCAACUCUUAACCUGCCUUUUUUAACAUGUUUCUGCAAUCAGACUGAGAAGACAAUAGCCAAUUUCAGCAUAUCUUGUGCCCAAUCCCAUCAAGGAUUUCUGAAUGGAAGCAGCCCAUACUUCACCCCAAAAGGACUUAAUGUUCACAACAGGAAAGGAUCAUGCUGCACACUCCUAGUGGUGAGUAAGCUACACUUGACCAUUUUUGGCACCUGGGACCUCUUCUGCCAGAUUCGGAAGGGAAAAGUGCAGCAGAUGGAAAGCAAAUCCAUUUCUCUCUUCUGCAGCAACAGAAAUGAGUCUGGUUCACCAGUACUCAUAGGAAUGUACCAGUUCAACUUGGCAAAAGACUUAAAGGAACACGAGAAAAGUUUUCCACUGAACUUAAUAAUUUAUCACAGACUCAUAUAGCGUUGCAAAACUACUUGCCAAUAGGAACGUAGUGGUCCUACUUCAUGUCACGAAGAUAAUGGGACUCUCAGACUCAGCUGAGUUUGCUUGUAUUGAAACUCUGGUAUCAUCCAAAGUACCCUAUUGGACAUAAAUUACUAUUCCAUUCAAAUGGAUUAUAGACUUCCUGAGGACAGGAAAACYAUCCCUCAUGGUUAUUUUUAAAACAAUUUUAUUACCAGUGAAGAAACAAUGCCAGCAUUCAAAUUCAUAAGCAGAGAUCAAGUUUUUUCAAUAUCUGGUCGUAUCCUGAACAUCAUUUGUUUUUGAUUGCCCAGCAUCCAUUCCAUCUCAUUGUAGCAAUUUCAUGAUAUUUCUUGAAACCCUAUCUUCCUAUUUGCAGUCCAUGUGAUUUGGAUAGUGUGAGCCUUGGGCUUCAGGGGUAUACAUGUAAUUCAGACCUCAUCAAUCAACAAAAUCCAUGUCCUUGAUCAUAGCUAUUGGUUCAGGAAUGGUUGUUUGGCUCAAGUUGGUCUAUUGUUAACCCUAGGAGUUUUACUGAAUUGUGAAGAAGUUUUCUUUAUGGAGGUGCUUUAGCUUUGUAGAAUGAAAAACUCAAACCAAUAAGGCCUAUCACGACAUUGCAUGAGCCACUCUGAGAAUGAAGCCAGUGCAAAGGAAAACAGCCAGAGAUGGAGAGACUUGAGUCCUGAUGACAGCAUUUGUGCCCCUGGAUCCAACUGUGCCUGAAGCUAGUAUAUCCCCUGGACUUUGCAGUUAUGUGAACCAAUAAAUACCCUUUUUGCUUAUGUUA
Urocitellus parryii (Arctic ground squirrel) is the source of this 6931-nucleotide non-coding RNA. The record is from RefSeq and is a predicted model, not a curated record. NCBI's taxonomy places the organism in Eukaryota, Metazoa, Chordata, Mammalia, Rodentia, Sciuridae.